This 424-nucleotide ribosomal RNA is filed under the name Verrucomicrobiota bacterium. RNAcentral describes it as "Verrucomicrobia bacterium partial 16S ribosomal RNA". It matches the Rfam family "Bacterial small subunit ribosomal RNA", at positions 355 to 776 of the family's 1533-position model. The record is from RNAcentral. Lineage: Bacteria; Pseudomonadati; Verrucomicrobiota.
UGAGGAAUAUUGGUUAAUGGACGCAAGUCUGAACCAGCCAAGUAGCGUGCAGGAUGACGGCCCUAUGGGUUGUAAACUGCUUUUAUAUGGGGAUAAAGUGGGGAACGUGUUCCCUUUUGCAGGUACCAUAUGAAUAAGGACCGGCUAAUUCCGUGCCAGCAGCCGCGGUAAUACGGAAGGUUCGGGCGUUAUCCGGAUUUAUUGGGUUUAAAGGGAGCGUAGGCCGUUUGGUAAGCGUGUUGUGAAAUGUAGGAGCUCAACUUCUAGAUUGCAGCGCGAACUGUCAGACUUGAGUGCGCACAACGUAGGCGGAAUUCAUGGUGUAGCUGUGAAAUGCUUGGAUAUAAUGAAGAACUCCGAUUGCGAAGGCAGCUUACGGGAGCGCAACUAACGCUGAAGCUCAAAGGUGCAGGUAUCGAACAGG